Molecule: long non-coding RNA, 534 nt
Organism: Cyprinus carpio (common carp)
Lineage: Eukaryota; Metazoa; Chordata; Actinopteri; Cypriniformes; Cyprinidae
Exons: 3
Source: RefSeq, a predicted model, not a curated record
CACACACUCAUGUACACAUAAUACAAACACACUUUGAGUGUGUCUCUCUGUCUCCUUCAUACAUAUUCUCACCUCUUGCUCAUCAGUUUGACUUCUAGCUUAAAAUAUCCUUUCUUCACUGCAUCUCGCCCUCUCAAUCACUUCCCAUAGGAAUGAUGAAUCACAACUGAGAUUGUUUCUCUCAUUUGUUUCUCCUAGGCAGAUUUAAGAAUAAAUGGAGAGCCCAAGGCCACACAAGAUUGCUCUGUUUGUCUGAACAUCCCAAAAAGCCCAACACCGCAUCAUCAUUGUGUGCCGUGGGACAGACCCUCAGUGAGCGGAGGAAUCGUGAUCGAGGCAAACACCGGCCCACCUGCGAUCCGGAUCGGGUUCUGUGCUCUCCACUGGUGGCAGGGAGGUAUGAUAACAGCUUCGUCCUGAUCCCUAUCGCUCCUGAUCUCCUCUACUAUGGUGGUACAACAGAUUUGUUGUCUGUACUGCGGUGGUAUCAAUUCAUGUCAAGUCAAGUCAAGUCCGCUUUAUUGUCAAUUCUUC